Molecule: ribosomal RNA, 442 nt
Filed under: uncultured bacterium
Lineage: Bacteria
Description: partial 16S ribosomal RNA
Rfam family: Bacterial small subunit ribosomal RNA
Source: RNAcentral
CCUACGGGAGGCAGCAGUAGGGAAUUUUUCACAAUGGGCGAAAGCCUGAUGGAGCAACGCCGCGUGCAGGAUGAAGGCCUUCUGGUUGUAAACUGCUUUUAUAAGCGAGAAAUAUGAUGGUAACUUAUGAAUAAGGAUCGGCUAACUACGUGCCAGCAGCCGCGGUCAUACGUAGGAUCCGAGCAUUAUCCGGAGUGACUGGGUGUAAAGAGUUGCGUAGGUGGCAUAAUAAGUAGCUAGUGAAAUCUGGUGGCUCAACCAUUCAGACUAUUAGCUAAACUGUUAAGCUCGAGACCGUUAGGGGUAACUGGAAUUUCUAGUGUAGGAGUGAAAUCCGUAGAUAUUAGAAGGAACACCAAUAGCGUAGGCAGGUUACUGGGACGGUUCUGACACUAAGGCACGAAAGCGUAGGGAGCAAACGGGAUUAGAUACCCUAGUAGUC